This 583-nucleotide ribosomal RNA is filed under the name uncultured fungus. Its description in RNAcentral is "eukaryotic LSU rRNA". The stretch from base 225 to 378 matches the Rfam family "5.8S ribosomal RNA". Lineage: Eukaryota; Fungi. The record is from RNAcentral.
CUUGGUCAUUUAGAGGAAGUAAAAGUCGUAACAAGGUCUCCGUAGGUGAACCUGCGGAGGGAUCAUUAUCGAGUUAAACGUUUGUCUUACGGGGCAAGCGCCAUCUCCAACCCUUUGUGAACACAUCUUGUUGCUUCGGGGGCGACCCUGCCGUUCGCGGCAUUCCCCCCGGAGGCCAUCAAAACACUGCAUUCUUACGUCGGAGUAUAAAGUUAAUUUAAUAAAACUUUCAACAACGGAUCUCUUGGUUCUGGCAUCGAUGAAGAACGCAGCGAAAUGCGAUAAGUAAUGUGAAUUGCAGAAUUCAGUGAAUCAUCGAAUCUUUGAACGCACAUUGCGCCCCCUGGUAUUCCGGGGGGCAUGCCUGUUCGAGCGUCAUUUCACCACUCAAGCCUCGCUUGGUAUUGGGCGUCGCGAGUCUCUCGCGCGCCUUAAAGUCUCCGGCUGUUUGACCCGUCUCCCAGCGUUGUGGCAACUAUCUCGCAGUGGAGUUCGAGUCGGAUUGGCCGUUAAAUCUUUCAAAGGUUGACCUCGGAUCAGGUAGGGAUACCCGCUGAACUUAAGCAUAUCAAUAAGCGGAGGA